AUGGAUGUGAAGUGGUAUCUCAUCAUAGAUUCGUUUUGUUUUUCCCUAGUGACUAAUGACGUUGAGCGUCUUUUCAUGUGCUUAUUGGCUAUUUGUACGUCUUCUUUGGAGAAAUGUCUGUUCAAGUCCUUGACCCAUUUUCACAAUGGAAAGUCUCCAGUUCAGAGCCAGUGGACGUUAGGGAAGGAAACUGGACCUGAGAGUGAUGUUUGGAGUUUGAAUUAACACCCAAGUUCUGAGAGGAGGCUGCUGGGCAUUGCAUCGGACCAGUCCCACUGGUAAGUGAACUCCAAACGUAGCAGUUGUCUCACAGGGCUUCCAGCAUGAUGACGUUUCAUAUUCGAUUUCCUUGCCCUUUCAUCAAAGUUUUCACUUUGAGUUUAGUCCGGAGGAUUUUUUUUAAUAUAGAAUUUGUUUCUGAGUUGUAAGUAAAUCUAUGGUUCUCUGAUUUAAGGACACAAUUGACAGUUGCAUCUUAGGUCACCUCACCACCACCACCACCAAUAAAAUAUAAUCUGAUAUAGCUCUAAAAAAGUAA
Molecule: long non-coding RNA, 538 nt
Filed under: Bos indicus x Bos taurus (hybrid cattle)
Lineage: Eukaryota; Metazoa; Chordata; Mammalia; Artiodactyla; Bovidae
Description: lncRNA (ENSBIXG00005024394.1)
Source: RNAcentral